RNAcentral lists this transfer RNA (72 nucleotides) under Capra hircus (goat). It matches the Rfam family "tRNA". From Rfam's summary of the family: Transfer RNA (tRNA) molecules are approximately 80 nucleotides in length. Their secondary structure includes four short double-helical elements and three loops (D, anti-codon, and T loops). The record is from Rfam by way of RNAcentral. RNAcentral also lists the same sequence under 1 other name. Lineage: Eukaryota; Metazoa; Chordata; Mammalia; Artiodactyla; Bovidae.
UCCCUGGUGGCUCAGAUGGUAAAGAAUCUGCCUGCAGUGCAGGAGACCCAGGUUCGAUCCCUGGGUGGGAAA